UGCCGCGUGUAUGAAGAAGGCCUUCGGGUUGUAAAGUACUUUCAGCAGUGAGGAAAGGUGGUAGUGUUAAUAGCACUGUCAUUUGACGUUAGCUGCAGAAGAAGCACCGCGCUAACUCCGGUGCCAGCGAGCCGCGGUAAUCACGCGAGGGUGCGAGCGUUAAUCGGAAUUACUGGCGCGAUAAAGCCGCAUGCANGUGGUUUGUUAAGGUCAGAUGUGAAAGCCCGGGGCUCAAGCCGUCGCGAAUUGCAUUUGAAGACUGGCAGACUAGAGUACUGUAGAGGGGGGUAGAAUUUCAGGUGUAGCGGUGAAAUGCGUAGAGAUCUGAAGGAAUACCGGUGGCGAAGGCGGCCCCCUGGACAGAUACUGACACUCAGAUGCGAAAGCGUGGGGAGCAAACAGGAUUAGAUACCCUGGUAGUCCACGCCGUAAACGAUGUCUACUUGGAGGUUGUGGCCUUGAGCCGUGGCUUUCGGAGCUAACGCGUUAAGUAGACCGCCUGGGGAGUACCGUCGCAAGAUCUCNCAACUCAAUGAAUUGACGGGGGCCCGCACAAGCGGUGGAGCAUGUGGUUUAAUUCGAUGCAACGCGAAGAACCUUACUACUCUUGACAUCCAUAGAACUUUCCAGAGAUGGAUUGGUGCCUUCGGGAACUAUGAGACAGGUGCUGCAUGGCUGUCGUCAGCUCGUGUUGUGAAAUGUUGGGUUAAGUCCCGCAACGAGCGCAACCCUUAUCCUUGUUUGCCAGCGAGUAAUGUCGGGAACUCCAGGGAGACUGCCGGUGAUAAACCGGAGGAAGGUGGGGACGACGUCAAGUCAUCAUGGCCCUUACGAGUAGGGCUACACACGUGCUACAAUGGCGCAUACAGAGGGCGGCCAACUUGCGAAAGUGAGCGAAUCCCAAAAAGUGCGUCGUAUCCGGAUUGGAGUCUGCAACUCGACUCCAUGAAGUCGGAAUCGCUAGUAAUCGUAGAUCAGAAUGCUACGGUGAAUACGUUCCCGGGCCUUGUACACACCGCCCGUCACACCAUGGGAGUGGGCUGCAAAAGAAGUGGGUAGUUUAACCUUCGGGGGGACGCUCACCACUUUGUGGUUCAUGACUGGGGUGAAGUCG
This 1114-nucleotide ribosomal RNA is filed under the name Vibrio sp. UST040911-030. Its description in RNAcentral is "bacterial SSU rRNA". It matches the Rfam family "Bacterial small subunit ribosomal RNA", at positions 395 to 1488 of the family's 1533-position model. Lineage: Bacteria; Pseudomonadati; Pseudomonadota; Gammaproteobacteria; Vibrionales; Vibrionaceae. The record is from RNAcentral.